AGCUCUGCUAAUGUGGGACGGGGGAGAACCACAGCCUAUGCAGUCAUUUUGGUUCCCUCUCGCUGAGGAGGAACUCAUGUACUGCUGCACAGAGUGUGGAAUCAGAGGCAUAGAGAGCCUAGGACUCAAGCUGUCCUGAAAGAACUCUCCACAAGGCUUUUGAUGGACAAUGGGCACCACCUGACAGGGCCUCAGCGCUGCAACAAAAGCACGGAGCUCGGAUUCAACAAGAGACAGUAUCUACCAAGCAUCAAGCGCUGUGGAAACAGAUUAAGAAGGUUUCAACUCUCCAGGUAUCCAGUCACUUGAUAUCAAUAAUAUCUCCCUGCCUGAACACUCACACAGACAUGCUGAAGGAAAAACUCCAUGUUUUCCAAAAGGCUUAGAGAUUAUACAUCAGGGCCCGGAUCCAGUGCUUAGACACCUGAGGAAAACAGCUGGUCACCCGAGUAACCAUAGACUUCUCUCCCGGAUCAGGGACUAACAUUCAUCAAGGAAAGCUGACAACGUUCUGAACCACCCUCAUGUAAGCUGUUGUAAGGAUUCCCAAGAAAUCUCUCCUUCCUCUUCUGUCUCCCACCCUUUGUACAGAUUUAAACUCAGAAUCUGAAAACUGUCUAAAUAAGGAUUCUCACACUUUCUCCA
This 645-nucleotide long non-coding RNA is filed under the name Mus pahari (shrew mouse). Its description in RNAcentral is "lncRNA (MGP_PahariEiJ_G0012450.1)". The record is from RNAcentral. Lineage: Eukaryota; Metazoa; Chordata; Mammalia; Rodentia; Muridae.